GGGGCUGUAUCAUAACCAGGCUGUGAGCUGCAUGGAGCAUGGGUAUGAUACGACCUCA
Astatotilapia calliptera (eastern happy) is the source of this 58-nucleotide microRNA precursor. Lineage: Eukaryota; Metazoa; Chordata; Actinopteri; Cichliformes; Cichlidae. The record is from Ensembl.